CCAGCAGCUGCGGUAAUUCCAGCUCUAAUAGCAUAUAUUAAAGUUGUUGCAGUUAAAAAGCUCGUAGUCGGAUUUUGGGCGUGUGUGGGCUAUCGGCCUCUGGUCGGAUGGCGUGCGCGCGCCUUUCUGCUCGGAAUCCCCAUGGAGGUUCGCGCCUCUGUGGUGGGUCACGGGCCGUUUACUUUGAAAAAAUUAGAGUGUUCAAAGCAGGCUAUCGCUUGAAUAGAUUAGCAUGGAAUAAUGGAAUAGGACCUUGGUGCUAUUUCGUUGGUUAAUGGGACCGAAGUAAUGAUUAAAAGGGACAGUUGGGGCCGUUUAUAUUUCGUUGUCAGAGGUGAAAUUCUUGGAUUUACGAAAGAUAAACUUCUGCGAAAGCAUUCGGCAAGGAUGUUUUCAUUGAUCAAGAACGAAAGU
This 414-nucleotide ribosomal RNA is filed under the name uncultured eukaryote. RNAcentral's name for it is "SSU rRNA". It matches the Rfam family "Eukaryotic small subunit ribosomal RNA", at positions 567 to 990 of the family's 1831-position model. The record is from RNAcentral.